GAAUCUUUAGUUUGCUUAUGUCUAGAUGACUGAUCUAGUGGUGGUUCUUUAACACAAUCUCUCUCUCUUCAUUGAAAUGUUCUCUUACUUUCUGUAUGUUCUAAUUUUAAUCCUCUAUCUUGUUUUAACUUGUUGAACAUUUAAACUCUGAGCUUUCUGAAUUCUUUCUCUGACAUUUCCUACUCUGUGGUGUUUAUGGAGUCAGUUGUUGUGGCCUGUAUUGGAUGGUUUGUUCUCUUGCUUUUUCCAUAUUGUUUAUAUGUCUAUCCAUGUAUUGGGAUGUUUAUCACUUCUUUUAUCCAGGGGGCUAUUUUUCUGAGCUUUUUUCUUUAAGAGGCAUGGACUGGGUGAAUAUUUAGGUAUUGAUAAUUUAAUUCAGUGUGUGGCCUCCUUUGAGAGAAGCUACUGAACCCUAUUUAGUACAAUCACUUCAGAGCAAAGCCAUGUACUAUUCAACCUUAUGAAAAAUGAAAAACUUGUUGAUACUCUUUUCCACAGUUCCUUUAAUUCCAGGACAUAACUAUAGUAAAGUUUUGGAAUAAGUAGGUUCAAAAAUUAAUUAUUAAAUAUAAUAAAAUUGCUAUAACGUUAUAGGGCUCAAAGGCGUAAGAGAGAAAAACUUCGUCAAAAGAGAGAAAAUAAAGGAGGAAAGCUAGAAAGAAUAAUACAAACCAAGGUAAAAAGAAGAAAAAGAUGAAUGGGUGGAUUUCAGGAAGUAGCAGAUAAUUUAAGAGUAAAAAGAGGGGAUAAGAGCAGAAAGUAUAGAUCAUUCUGCUUGAUCAGAAUGAUUCCAAUCAAUGCUUUAAAAUUUUAGAAGAGAGCUGGGGUUGUGGCUCAGCGCUCGCCUAGCACAUGUGAGGCCCUGGGUUCAAUCCUCAGCAUCAGAUAAC
This 890-nucleotide long non-coding RNA is filed under the name Marmota monax (woodchuck). The record is from RNAcentral. Lineage: Eukaryota; Metazoa; Chordata; Mammalia; Rodentia; Sciuridae.